RNAcentral lists this ribosomal RNA (255 nucleotides) under uncultured bacterium. RNAcentral describes it as "partial 16S ribosomal RNA". It matches the Rfam family "Bacterial small subunit ribosomal RNA", at positions 524 to 776 of the family's 1533-position model. The record is from RNAcentral.
UACGUAGGGUGCGAGCGUUGUCCGGAAUUAUUGGGCGUAGAGAGCUCGUAGGCGGUGUGUCACGUCGGCCGUGAAAACCUGCAGCUUAACUGUGGGCGUGCGGUCGAUACGGGCAUCACUGGAGUUCGGCAGGGGAGACUGGAAUUCCUGGUGUAGCGGUGAAAUGCGCAGAUAUCAGGAGGAACACCGGUGGCGAAGGCGGGUCUCUGGGCCGAUACUGACGCUGGAGGAGCGAAAGCGUGGGGAGCAAACAGG